Salmo salar (Atlantic salmon) is the source of this 269-nucleotide non-coding RNA. NCBI's taxonomy places the organism in Eukaryota, Metazoa, Chordata, Actinopteri, Salmoniformes, Salmonidae. The record is from RefSeq and is a predicted model, not a curated record.
AGAAUUGGGGAGAGAGCAGUUGUUGAAUAGGGGUCAUGGACAAUCACUCUGCUUUGGUACGCUUCAGUGCCCCAGGAAGCUUAUCUUGAAGCCUGAAAAGGGGAAAUAAUGCUGUACUUCUCACAUGUAUAUACACUGCUACAUUAGAGGUCACACUGCAUCUAAAUACUGCUACACUAGAGGUCACACUGCAUCUAAAUACUGCUACACUAGAGGUCACACUGCAUCUAAAUACUGCUACACUAGAGGUCACACUGCAUCUAAAUACU